UACGUAGGUGGCGAGCGUUGUCCGGAAUCACUGGGCGUAAAGGGCGCGUAGGCGGUUAAUUAAGUCAGGUGUGUAAACCGCAGGCUUAACCUGAGGAUUGCACCUGAUACUGGAUAACUUGAGUGCAGGAGAGGGCAGUGGAAUUCCUAGUGUAGCGGUGAAAUGCGUAGAUAUUAGGAGGAACACCAGUGGCGAAGGCGGCUGCCUGGACUGCAACUGACGCUGAGGCGCGAAAGCGUGGGGAGCAAACAGGAUUAGAUACC
RNAcentral lists this ribosomal RNA (263 nucleotides) under uncultured bacterium. RNAcentral's name for it is "partial 16S ribosomal RNA". It matches the Rfam family "Bacterial small subunit ribosomal RNA", at positions 524 to 786 of the family's 1533-position model. The record is from RNAcentral.